CGCAGACUGCGUAUGAGAGGCGAGGAGACGGCCGCGACGACGAGCGGGACCCGACGCUGCGGAUCCGACAGCGUGACAGCCGAGCCGAUGGCGUUUUUAAAGUUGGAUAACGGUGUUUGGCCUUGAACGGAGACGUUAGAAGCGUAAUACAGGUUUAACGGCAAUGAGUGCGGAAUCACUUGUUAGAUAGAAAGACAGAGGGAGAGUGUGCGUGUGUGUGUGUGUGAGAGGGGCCAAAGUGGACCUCCUCCCUCGGCAGAGCUCGUUCCGCCCGAUGGAGCCUGACGGGACCUUUGCAGUGAGCUCGAGGCCCGGAAUGUCACCUGUGAAACGUCGUCAACUCGUCGCAGGACGUAAUUAAGGAAAAGACCGCGCACACCUGUCUGCCUUUUUUGACGACUUGAGCUGUUUGACAACUUCUUAGUAAGCUAGUAAACGAAAACAAAAGUUAGCAGGUCGACGUUAGCCGCGGGAGGCGACCCCUCGCGCAAGAUGACUGUCAUAGAUAUGACUUAACGAGAGGUAAUUCACCGCCUCAGGUAACACAGGACAGGUGAACAACGCACUAUUUCCUUUUUAACGGACUUCACGCUUCCUUCUCCCGACGGGUUUGUUCUGGAAAGUUGUCUCACGAUAUUUCGCCAUUAGUAAGUUGACUGUUUGUCUGCUAGAAUCGAGCAGUUUUGUUCUUCAAACAAGGACUUCUUGGACAUUUUUUUCGCCCCCUCACCAAGUGUCGCCUUUUCCCACCGACCAACCAUGUCAUUCAAAGAAAACCCUUGUCGGAAAUUUCAAGCCAACAUUUUCAACAAAAGUAAAUGCCAGAACUGCUUUAAGCCCAGAGAAUCACAUUUGCUGAACGACGAAGACUUAAAUCAGGCAAAACCUAUAUAUGGAGGGUGGUUGCUGCUGGCACCAGAGGGAACAAAUUUUGACAAUCCCUUACACAGAUCCCGGAAAUGGCAAAGGAGGUUCUUCAUCCUUUAUGAGCAUGGCUUACUUCGCUAUGCUCUGGACGAAAUGCCCAGCACUCUACCCCAGGGUACAAUCAAUAUGAACCAGUGCUCUGACGUCAUCGAUGGAGAGUCCAGGACGGGUCAGAAGAACUCGCUGUGCAUCCUGACCCCUGACAAAGAGCACUUCAUACGGGCUGAGUGUAAAGAAAUUAUCAAUGGGUGGCAAGAGGCUCUGACUGUGUACCCCAGGACAAACAAGCAGAACCAGAAGAAAAAACGCAAGGUUGAUCCACCCACUCACCAGUGUCUCUGUGACCUUACCUCCCAUUAUAUCCUUUCCUCUUCCCAUCCACUCCUUCCAACCCAAACCCCCUCCCAGGAGCCUGGCCCUGCCAAGGUAACGGUGACCAGCAGCAGCAGCGGAGGAAGCAUCCCUUGCCUGCCCAGCAGCAUUGCCAGCGCUGAGCGUGUCCCGAUGAGCCGCGCCACUCUGUGGCAGGAGGAGAGCCGCUGGAGCAGGGCCACCAUCCCCUGCAGCCGCAGUGCCUCCUGUAUUAGCCAGCUGAGCCAGAGCCAACCAGACUCCAGUAACAUUACUCAAGACGAUGGCGGCACCAUGACCACUGGACGCAAGGUACGAGUGGAGAGUGGUUACUUUUCCCUGGAGAAGGCCAAGUCGGAGCCCUCUCCACAGUCAGCACAGCAUUCUCAGCCACCUCAGCCACCCCAGCACUUGUCCCUGUCCUCUUCAGCAUCCUCCUCCUCUUUAGGAGCUCUCAGUCCCAGGUACAACUCUGAGUCAGAACCCCAAAUUUCCCCUUAUGAACCCCCCCAAGAUCCUCUCCCUUCUCCAGGUGCACUUGUUUCCCCCAGCUACUCCACCAUCAGCUCCUCCCAGAGCUCGCUGGACUCUGAACCCAGCGGCACAACACCCACCUGGGAGGGACACAGUGGUGGUGGAGGAAGCACCGGUAGUUUCAGUGGUGGAGGAGGCAGAGUGGGCCGGUCUGGCAGGGAGUACGCAGCGCUGUCCGAUGUGCCACGGGCUCGCAGACUGAGCUACCGGGAAGCGUUCCGCUCAGAGAAAAAGCGCCAAGAGCUGCGGGCACGGACACGGAGUCCCGGCAGGGAGGAGGUGGCUCGGCUGUUUGGCCUUGAGCGCAGGCGUUCUCAAGUCAUCGGCCGAUUUGAGGAGGGUCAGCAUGUUGAGCGCAUGGACACAAGCAGCUCCAACGAGCCCUCUGCCAACACCACGCUAAUCCAGAGACAAGGCCGCAGUGAGAGACGCUAUCUGGCUAACAAACAUGAAAUGUCACUGGAUGCAGGAAAGGACCGUUCAGCCCCUGAUGUGUCCAGCUCCACUUUUGCUAAUUUAAGAAGAGCUAAGUCACUGGACCGCAGAGUCACAGAGUCCUCAAUGACUCCUGAUCUGCUGAACUUCAAAAAAGGAUGGAUGACAAAGCUGUAUGAAGAUGGAAUGUGGAAGAAACACUGGUUUGUCCUGACAGAUCAGAGUUUAAGGUACUACAAGGACUCAAUAGCCGAGGAGGCUUCAGAACUGGAUGGUGAGAUUGACCUUUCUACAUGUUAUGAUGUCAAAGAGUUCCCAGUCCAGAGGAAUUACGGCUUUCAAAUUCUGUGUAAAGAGGGAGCAUGCACCCUGUCGGCCAUGACCUCCGGAAUCCGUCGCAACUGGAUUCAGGCCAUUAUGAAGAAUGUGCGACCCACUAUCGCCCCCGAUGUCACCCGGAAAAACAUCUCUCUGAAACUAUCCGUUCUGAAGCCCAGAUCCCUCCCAGAGGAGAAGAUAAAAACCCAGGUGAUGUUGGAGCCGUGUCCACAGACCACAACUGAGCCAAGCCCUAGUCCUGAGGCCCCUGUGAAGUCUGAUGUUCACAGACAACCAGUUGGCAACAAUGCCUCCACCCCUCCCUCUGAGCCUCGUAAAAGCCGUGUUCGUGAGCGCAGACGAGAGGGUCGUUCCAAGACUUUUGAUUGGUCUGAGUUCAAAAUGGAACAGACACAAAAGCCUGUGAAGGAACGAGCGGACACAGUCGACCUCAGCUCAUCAUUCUCUACUACUUCCUCUUAUUGCUCUCCCUCCUCUUCCCCUUCCUCAUUAGCGUCCUCUCCAGUCUCUACCUCCUCCCUCCAAACCUCUUCUGUGUCAGGUGCUCACCCACCUUCUAUGUCAGAAGAAGCAGAAAAGGAGAAUGUUAGGAGGGGAAUCCCUCCACAUAGCACAACCAGUGCAACCCACAUGCCAAAUACUGUUACAGUCACCAUGACUUCGACGCUGAACACUACGUCACCGGUACAGCCAGCAAUACCUGAAUGCCAAGAGCAAGCAAAAAUGGAGGUUGACCACCCUACAGCCAUGCAUCCUGCUAGUGGAGAUAAGAAAGACAACAGAACUUCAGACGUCCAAGAAGAGAUUGAGCAGCGAUGGCAUCAGGUGGAGACCACACCGUUAAGAGAAGAGAAGCAAGUGCCCAUCAACACAGGUUUAGGAAACUCUGGAAACUCUGACAGACUGCCUGCACAUGAGCUUGCUGCGCUGCUAGAGAAAGAGUUGGGACAGAAGCAGAAGGAGCUGGACCAACUACAGAAGCAAAACAACGUCCUUAAAGAGCAGUUGGAAAAUGCACUAGGGAGAGAACAAACUGCCAGAGAGGGCUAUGUGCUGCAGAGUGCAACACCCCCUUCCUCCUCGCCACACAGAGUGCCAUGGCAACGCUUGCACACACUUAAUCAAGAUUUGCAGGGCGAGUUGGAGGCCCAAAAGCGCAAGCAGGACAUUGCUCAACAACAGAUUCGGACACUAAAGAGAAGCUACACAGAAGCCCAGUAUGCCGUAGACCGCCAUGAGACUGAUAUUCAGGCUCUGCAGACUAAACUAGCGUCUGCAAUGGCUGAAAUCUUGGCUAGUGAAGAGGCGGUGGCCAGAAUGCGAAAUGAGCUCAAGCUAGAGCAAGAUCGUUCAAAGGAACAAGAAGAGGAACAUGGCCGUAGUGAGACCACCCUACGAGCCCAGCUGAAGGACAGUGAAGAUAGACUCCGUGAAGUAGAGGCAAGUCUCUUAGAGCGAAACCAGGCCCUUAGGCACCUGGAGCGCCAACAAGCUCUGCAACGAGACCACAUGAGAGAGAUACAGAGGUUACAGGAGAGGCUGCAAGAAGUGACUGCUCGGUUAAGUGCUACUGAGGAGGGACAGGCACUGAAGGAAGAGCGCCUGAGAAAGGAACAGCAUAGUAUGCAAGAGAGCCAUGAAAGGGAAAGACAGAAUCUGUGUAGAAGAUUAGCUGAGGCUGAAACUGCUCACAAAGACAUGGAGAACAGACUGCUGGAGGCUGAACAGCAGGUGGAGGCCCUGUUAAGAGGGAGGCAGGCUUCAGGAGGGAAAGAAUGCAAGGAGGAAAUGCAAAAGUUGCAAGAGGAGCUGUCUCAUAAGACUGGCAUGGUUGAGUCACUGAGGGAGAGUGUGCGUAGGCUAGAAGAAGAGAAAGGUCGUCUAACUUGCCGCUGUCAGGAGCUUCUUAACCAGAUUGCCGAAGCAGACCGUGAGGUGAAUAAGCUCCGUAAUCGUCUGGAAACGGAAGAGGCUGAUUACAACACCCUGGAGCACUCAUAUGAGAGGGCUACCAAAGAAUUUCAGAAAAUUAGCCAGUUCCUUAGAGAAAAAGAAGAAGAGAUCCGACAAACUAAGGAGAUGUAUGAGAGGCUGGUAGAACGCAAGGAAGACGACUUAAAAGAGGCCCUUGUUAAAAUGACUGCACUUGGCAACAGCUUGGAGGAAACAGAACAGAAGUUGCAAGCUAAGGAGGAGCUUCUUUGUCAAAUGACGCAAAGCCUCUUAGAUAAGGUUGAGCCCUGUAGUGCUGAAAAGGAUCUGCAAGCUAAGCUUGUGGUUGCAGAGGACCGUAUAGCAGAGCUAGAGCAGCAUCUCAAUGCCCUGCAGCUGGGUUAUGCUGACCUACACAUGGAAAGGCAGCAAAUCCCAGCACAGAGCAAGAAGGGACGGCUUAAAACAUCUGUCUCCUUAUCACCAAACACAGACCUCCCACUUUCAAAGACGGAGAUCUCCCUAGAUGACAAGGAGUCUCAAGCUAAGAGACCAAGGAUACGUUUUUCCAGUAUUCAGUGCCAAAAAUACAUAAAUCUAGAAGGCAUGGACACUAGCCAUUUGAGCAGUACCUUUGCAGACACAAGACAAAAAGGUAAUCAGGAUGUAAAUGAAGACAUCCAUCUAACUGAAGGAAAUGUCUCCUCUGAUAUCACGUUCCCUCACAGUAGUGACCCAGAGAAGUUUAUCUCUAUUAUACAUGCUCUAGAGACUAAACUGCUGGCCACCGAGGAAAAACUAAGAAACCUGACACAGAAUCUAGAAGAACGAUCCAUCCAAGCAGAACAGAUAUCCAAUGUUGAUCUAAAGCUGUCAGAAACAAAGCCUAACCCUGAUAAAGAUCUUAGUUGUGGAAGUGGGAUGCAGCAUAGUGCUGCCAAUAAGCAUUACGCCAUGGCCCUGGUGUGUGUGGAAAAUAGUCGUGAGAAAGUCAAGAUUAUUCUCAGUGGCUCUCAUGAUACCAUUGAUUCACAGCUGCACUCCUUGUCAGAGAUAGAGAGCGAUUUGUUCAAUGCAUCACUUUACAUCAGACAAGGACAGAAGACGCUGGAAGAGCAAUCACCAGUUGUCCAUCCAAAUGAAACCCCAGAGACUCUAGAUAAAGAUGCGUUGCACCUCUUUGCCAAAACUCUGUCUUUUGAGGCAGUCGUGUUGAACAAGAUGGCUUUGUUAAUACAGACUUCAAAGUCUGACGUCCUACAAACUCUUGCAGAGAUAUGGGAGGACAUAGAGAACAUUAAAAGGAGUGACAAAGAUUGCUUGGCCAUAGUUUAUGCUGAUGUCUUGACCAGGAAGUUGAUGUUAGAGAGCGCAUUUUGGAAAGAAUUGGAGAAAGCUGAGACAGAUGUUGCUAAAUCCAAAGAGGGCAGAGUUUCAGCUGAUGUAGAUGUUGAUGCCACCGUUAUCUUUAACACCUUCAUUAAAGCAGAACUUGCCUACUCUAUUCAAAACCUUAAACACUGCUAUGAUGAGAAAUUCAAAAUUCUGAAAAGGGAGCUGACUGAAGCACGAAGCAACCUACAUCAAAGGGAAAUGGCUCUGAAAGCAAUUGUUGAAGCUUCCAAAAGAGCUGAUUUGAAAAAUGUAAUUAAAGAAGUCAAAAAUAACUUUGGGUUCGGUAAACAAAGGUUAGCUGACAUCCACCCCCCUGAACUUGCUCCCUACAUGGAGCAGAUUGAAAUGGAGGAGGCUAGAGACCUAGCUGAGGAAAUUGUAGACGAACACUUGGCUGGAGAAAUGCCCUCUUGUGGUGUUGACUCUGUUGAAUCAAUGCAAAAUGCACAUGUCAACCUGGCUGAUGAGCUUCAAAGACAAGCCGCAAUCCUUCAUAAGUAUGCUCAAGAGAUAGAAAGCGGUGGGAACCACCCUGGCCUGGCUAAAAUGAUCCAUGCUCUUCUAGGGCACCAAACAUCACACAAUUUCACGAGUACCUCUCUUUGUAUGCGCGAAGCCCUAAUUCAGGCUCAAGUGGCUUAUGUGGCAUGUAGGUUACGGGCCAUGCAUGAACAAGAGUUGGGCUGGUGUAAACAGACAGGUCAGAACAUGGAUGAUCUGGUCCAGCAGCAUGCCCACAAUGUCAAUGCUAUCCAAGAGAAAUAUGAAGCAUCCUUACAGGAGGAGCGCCUUAACUUCUCACAGACAGUGGGCACUCUCCAGAAGGAGAACCAAACACUAAAGGGUGAGAUCAGCAAACGUAUGAACCAGCUCUCCCAGCAGCAAGACCAACUGGCUGUCCUGGAGGAGCAUUUCCAGAAGGAGACUGAAGAGCUGAAGCGGAGGCACAAGCAAGAGCUCAGCCAAGCAGAGAAAGGCCGUGCCUCAACAGAGCUGGCCCUCAUGGAGACCACAGCUGACAGUCAACGAAAGCUGGAGGUUCUACUGGUGGACAUGGACACCAUGGAGGAGCGGCAUGAGAGUCAUGUGAGGAAACUGGAGGAGCAGUUUGAACAGAGAAUCUGUGAGCUCCAGCAAAUCCACAAAGAGGAGCUGGACAAGUUACAUUCCCAGUAUGUGGAAAACAUUCAAUUUGUCCAAGAGUACCAACAGGACAAAAAAGGUCCUGAUGUUUCCCAUUUGCCUCCCUGUGAUGAGGCUACUACACCAAUGGAAGAGGAGGAGCAGGGGAAGGGGGAGAAUGCACAGACUAUGUCAGAAGUGGACUCCAUGGUGGUUUUGAAGGAUCGGAUCCAGGAGCUGGAGACUCAGAUGAACACCAUGAGGGAUGAACUGGAGAACAAGCACCUAGAAGGAGAUGUGGCCAGCCUGAGAGAGAAAUACCAGAGAGACUUUGAAAGUCUUAAGGCCACGUGUGAGCGUGGCUUUGCAGCAAUGGAAGAAACCCACCAGAAGGUAAUACAAGACCUCCAGAGGCAGCAUCAGAGGGAGAUUUCCAAACUUAUGGAGGAGCGAGAGAGACUGUUGGCUGAGGAGACUGCUGCCACGAUUGCUGCUAUUGAAGCUAUGAAGAAUGCACACAAGGAGGAAAUGGAGAAGACCCAUCGCUCCCAACUGAGCGGACUGAACUCUGACAUCGAUGAACUUCGCUUACAAUACGAGGAGGAGCUGCAGUCCAUCCAGAGAGAACUGGAGGUGUUGUCAGAGCAGUACUCUCAGAAAUGUCUGGAGAACGCUCACCUGGCCCAGGCACUGGAGGCCGAGAGGCAGGCCCUCAGGCAGUGUCAGAGAGAGAACCAGGAGCUAAACGCUCACAACCAGGAAUUAAAUAACCGACUGACCGCAGAGAUCACUCGGAUGCGCUCCUGUUUCAGUGGCGAAACAGCGCUGUCACCACUUACCCAGGGCAAAGAUGUGUAUGAACUGGAGGUGUUGCUACGAAUUAAGGAGUCCGAGAUCCAGUAUCUUAAACAGGAAAUCCACUCUUUGAAGGAUGAACUGCAGUCUGCUUUAAGGGACAAGAAAUAUGCCACAGACAAAUAUAAGGACAUCUAUACAGAGCUCAGCAUUGUGAAAGCAAAGGCGGACUGCGACAUCAGCAAGCUGAAGGAGAAGCUGCUCAUUGCCACAGAAGCUUUAGGCGAGAGGACCGUCGAUGGAACGGUCACAUCUGGAUACGAUAUCAUGAAAUCAAAAAGUAAUCCAGAUUUCAUGAAAAAGCAGUCCAAGCAAUCAAGAGGCGUAAGGUCAAAGUCUGUCACUGAACAGGUCUCAUGGGAUAGCUGACACUCCCAUUGUGGGAUGAUUCCCCCCCAACCCCCGCCCCAAGAUGUGCUAGCCUGAAAGAGGGACUGACUGUGCAGGAGCGUAUGAAGCUUUUUGAGGCGAAAGAUUCCAAAAGGAUUUGAAUAUCGAGAGUCUGAAGUUUCUUUUCUCUUCUCUGACCUUGGUUUGAGGUCAGAUUGCUACGGCCGUGCCAGCAUCAGCUGAAGCCUCUCAUAGGAAAUGGAAUAAAUUUAUUAAGGUCAGUUCUCAGCCUGGACCUGCUGCUUCCAUGCCUCUGAUACGUUUUGACAGAUUUUUGUUGGAUUUUUUUUUUUUAAUUCAUGGAAAAAAGUUUUAUUGAAUCAAUCCUGUGUAAGGUUAAAAAAUCCUUAGAUGUACGAUCUGUCCAAGUGGUGUCAAAUAAGCUGCGAGAGGGAUAAAUGACAGCAUUUUUAUUGAUCCUCCAGAAUGCCAAAACAGACAGCAAUACACAGUAUGAAUAAUAUAUAUUUCCCAAUAUGAAUUAAGUAUCUGCUGUAUUUUAUAUUGUUACAGUUUCUAUAUCUAAUAAUUUUAAUGUGUUUAAUGUUGCACCAGUUCUGUUGUACAUAACUACUGGAUAUAUGUAAGAGUAUGGUUUGCUAUUGAUUGUUGGGGCAUCUGCUGUACUGUAACUAUGGUUUGAUUGAUAGUGGAAAUCAAUGUGAUGCUUAACUUGCUUAUGUAUGAGAGUUUUAUAAAAAGGAGUGUCUGUGUGUGAAGGGGGUAAAGAGGGGUGGGAUUGCACUUAUCACUUGACUACUUAAGGAAUCUUUUUUAUUUGUCUAAAAUUGGUGUAGUGACUUCAAGUCGAUUAUUGCAGUGCAACCAAACAUCCUGACUUCUGUCAAAUUUAGUGAACAACCGUGACUUGUUAGUGAUGCUGGACUUUUUUUUUCCUUUCUUUUAAGUUUCUUAAAACCUGAAUUUGUGUUUGCUCAGUUUUGACUUUGGUGUGAGAGCAUCAUCUCAGAUAAACUAUUUAGGACUUUGCAUGACUGUACAGUAUCAUUUGAAUUGCAGAAUGAUCAUGUUGCCUCAUUUUCCUACUUUAUGCUUUAGUGUGGAACUCUUAACACUAAUAAGCUUUGCUUUGCAAGUCCUACUGUUUAGGUGUUGAGAUUGAAAUGUUUUACUGUAAGCGGCAGUCUUGAAGCACUCGGCCCAGUCCCUGACCUCUCACUGAAAUCUAGUCGUGCCUCAACUGAGUGAAGAAUAUUAAACAUCCAUGAAACCGUGCAGCUAUGGAUACACACUGUAUAGUAUUCAAACCACGCCUUGUAUAUAUAUAUAUGCCACACGGAAGACUUCUGUGUUUUGUUUUAAACUUGUACCUUGCUCACUAGCUCUAUAUGAAAUAUAUAUGAAUAUUUUUUAUUUUCAUUUGAAUGUAUAACGUCAAAUAAAUGAAGUGUUUGGAAA
Chelmon rostratus (copperband butterflyfish) is the source of this 9699-nucleotide RNA transcript. It is a transcript of the gene named protein outspread, with no coding region annotated. Lineage: Eukaryota; Metazoa; Chordata; Actinopteri; Chaetodontiformes; Chaetodontidae. The record is from RefSeq and is a predicted model, not a curated record. The transcript is spliced from 26 exons.